AUCAGUACUGGUAUAUAGAAUACUAUCUUUGGUUAGCUCAUCUAUAUAUGUUUUAAUUGUAAUAAUGCUCUUUAAAAAAGAUAGUAUUACUUUCUAAAAAUUAAUUUGUAACACAAAACUAAUAUUUUUAGUACAUCAGGACCAUCCAAAAUUCGAAAUUAAAAUAGCUUUCUUACCAUUGACGCAAGGCCAACAUCUGACGACAGGUUGUCGUAACGCGAAAGCGCAAACUCCAAUGAAAAGCGGCUUUAAGUAAAACAAUUGCAGUGCAAUUACAGUUUUUAU
RNAcentral lists this unclassified non-coding RNA (285 nucleotides) under Bombus terrestris (buff-tailed bumblebee). RNAcentral's name for it is "misc RNA ENSBTSG00005023715.1". The record is from RNAcentral. Lineage: Eukaryota; Metazoa; Arthropoda; Insecta; Hymenoptera; Apidae.